Molecule: non-coding RNA, 238 nt
Organism: Pelobates cultripes (western spadefoot toad)
Lineage: Eukaryota; Metazoa; Chordata; Amphibia; Anura; Pelobatidae
Source: the annotation of a GenBank genome assembly
CACCAAACCAUCAGGAAACCUCAGAUCACCAAACCAUCAGGGAACCUUGGAUCACCACACCACCUGGAAACCUCAGAUCACCAAACCAUCAGGAAGCCUCGGAUCACCAAACCAUCAGGGAACCUUGGAUCACCAUACCACCAGGAAACCAUCAGGAAGCCUCGGAUCACCAAACCAUCAGGGAACCUUGCAUCAACACAUCAUCAGGAAACCUAGGAUCACCACACCAGCAGGAAGC